UACGGAGGGGGCGAGCGUUAUUCGGAAUUAUUGGGCGUAAAGGGCGCGUAGGCGGCCUGAUAAGUCAACGGUGAAAUCCCUCGGCUCAACUGAGGAAUUGCCUUUGAAACUGUCAGGCUUGAGGCCGGGAGGGGGUGGCGGAAUUCCCAGUGUAGCGGUGAAAUGCGUAGAUAUUGGGAGGAACACCAGUGGCGAAGGCGGCCACCUGGACCGGUUCUGACGCUGAUGCGCGAAAGCGUGGGGAGCAAACAGG
This 253-nucleotide ribosomal RNA is filed under the name uncultured bacterium. Its description in RNAcentral is "partial 16S ribosomal RNA". It matches the Rfam family "Bacterial small subunit ribosomal RNA", at positions 524 to 776 of the family's 1533-position model. The record is from RNAcentral.